RNAcentral lists this unclassified non-coding RNA (328 nucleotides) under soil metagenome. Its description in RNAcentral is "partial contains 5.8S ribosomal RNA, internal transcribed spacer 2, and large subunit ribosomal RNA". The stretch from base 1 to 119 matches the Rfam family "5.8S ribosomal RNA", at positions 35 to 154 of the family's 154-position model. The record is from RNAcentral.
GAUGAAGAACGCAGCGAAAUGCGAUAAGUAAUGUGAAUUGCAGAAUUCAGUGAAUCAUCGAAUCUUUGAACGCACAUUGCGCCCCCUGGUAUUCCGGGGGCAUGCCUGUCCGAGCGUCAUUACAACCCUCAAGCUCAGCUUGGUAUUGGGCCCCGCCGACCCGGCGGGCCCUAAAGUCAGUGGCGGUGCCGUCCGGCUCCGAGCGUAGUAAUUCUUCUCGCUCUGGAGGUCCGGUCGUGUGCUCGCCAGCAACCCCCAAUUUUUUUCAGGUUGACCUCGGAUCAGGUAGGGAUACCCGCUGAACUUAAGCAUAUCAAUAAGCGGAGGA